This 109-nucleotide ribosomal RNA is filed under the name Oryzolejeunea saccatiloba. RNAcentral describes it as "partial 18S ribosomal RNA". It matches the Rfam family "Eukaryotic small subunit ribosomal RNA", at positions 1724 to 1831 of the family's 1831-position model. The record is from RNAcentral. Lineage: Eukaryota; Viridiplantae; Streptophyta; Jungermanniopsida; Porellales; Lejeuneaceae.
UCUAAGUCUUUGCAUUGGUGUUGUUGUGAGAGUUCAUUAUACCUUAUCAUUUAGAGGAAGGAGAAGUCGUAACAAGGUUUCCGUAGGUGAACCUGCGGAAGGAUCAUUG